CCUACGGGUGGCAGCAGUGAGGAAUCUUGGACAAUGGACGCAAGUCUGAACCAGCCAUGCCGCGUGCAGGAAGACGGCUCUACGAGUUGUAAACUGCUUUUGUACGAGGGUAAACGCAGAUACGCGUAUCUGUCUGAAAGUAUCGUACGAAUAAGGAUCGGCUAACUCCGUGCCAGCAGCCGCGGUAAUACGGAGGCUUCAAGCGUUAUCCGGAUUUAUUGGGUUUAAAGGGUGCGUAGGCGGUCGGAUAAGUUAGAGGUGAAAUCCCGAGGCGCAACUUCGGAAUUGCCUCUGAUACUGUGCGGCUAGAGAGUAGUUGCGGUAGGCGGAAUGUAUGGUGUAGCGGUGAAAUGCUUAGAGAUCAUACAGAACACCGAUGGCGAAGGCAGCUUACCAAGCUACUUCUGACGUUGAGGCACGAAGGCGUGGGUAGCAAACAGGAUUAGAUACCCGAGUAGUC
RNAcentral lists this ribosomal RNA (460 nucleotides) under uncultured bacterium. RNAcentral describes it as "partial 16S ribosomal RNA". It matches the Rfam family "Bacterial small subunit ribosomal RNA", at positions 338 to 795 of the family's 1533-position model. The record is from RNAcentral.